Bos taurus (domestic cattle) is the source of this 2786-nucleotide long non-coding RNA. NCBI's taxonomy places the organism in Eukaryota, Metazoa, Chordata, Mammalia, Artiodactyla, Bovidae. The record is from Ensembl.
CAGCAAGGAAGUGCCAGAGUUGGGGUUUAAACCCAGGGAAUUCAGCUGCAGCCCUUAACACCUACAUUCCCAAAUCCUCUAAAAUGAUAGUUUUUGUUUGUUUUUUAAAGCAAGGGCUCCCUCUCAACAAUUACUGAGCUCUUCUUGCUUACCUUUCUUGUGGCCAUCUUUCCAGGUGCAUACAAUCAUUCCCAUUCCCCAGGUGUGCACAAUCAUUCCAUUACUCCUUUAUGCUUCGGUACCAUUAAACCAAGGCAUAAACGAGUAACUCUUGGAGUCGAGAUGCUUUUAUGUCCAAAGUGAAAUUCUCAAGAGUUUGUGAGGCUCAUCCACCCUCGGGCCAGCUCAGGGAAGGAACCAGCAGGAACCCAAAGCCUCUGCCUUUUCCAGUCUCCAGGCCCCUGCUGCCACCACUGCCCCAGUCAAGGCCCUCAGCAUGCCCCAACUCAGAGGUGCACCCUCAUUCAUGCUACCCUUCCGAGACCUGCUUCCCCACCCCAGACUGGCUGAAGACCCCAUGGACUCCCGCCCAGCCAAGGGAGAGAGCUGAGAACACUCGACAAAGGGGCUUCAGUGAUGUCAUCUUUGACAGGUGGGAAACUGAUCAGAAACGCCAAAACAUUUGCCCAAACUGCUGACAGUAAGAGGUAACAGUUGGACCGGAGCCAUGCCUCUAAGACUACCAUUAAGGCACUGUCAGGCAGGUCUGUAUGAGGCCCGGUGCCCAAGGCACCCAAGAACUGCAGAGAAUCCUUUGAAAAUGUUUGAGACCCAGAUGCAUAAACACUUGGGCUCUAGAAUGCAAAAGGGGAACGCCAAGUCCAAAUGAACCCAUGUUUUAUUAUGUUUAAGAACAGGAUGUCAACUUUAUUGUGGUUAAAAUCCAUCCAUCUGGAAAGAGGCUUGGGUUGGGAAUGCUCUCCCUGAGAAGACCCCAAGCAGAUCGCCGGCAGUUGUCUACUUUAGAGAGCUGCCUGUGGCCAAUAGAUUUCCAAAGCAAAAUGAUAAAUUACAAGAAUAAUUAACCCGAUGCGCAUUUAGCACGUGGAGAGUCUGCUUCGAGUUGGGAGUGUUUUAACUCCUUUAAUCCCAACAUCGCCUCUACUGGGUGCGGCUGUUUUGAUACAGGUCCAUGCGAUGGGGAAACUGAGGCACAGGGAAGUCAAAGAGCUGAGGAGGGACACAGCUGGGGUUUGAACCUCACCAGACCCCCUCAUGUGGUCGGCACUCUUGACCCCUGUGCUGUCUUCAGCCUUGUGUUUCACGGCAGAGUCUUCAGUGGAAUUGGAGAUGCGGAUACCAUGGUGACCGUUUGAUUUUGAAAGGGUAUGGAUGUCGGGCACGGCGCAGUUUGGGGUUCCAGAUCUGGACGAUGGUGGGAAGCUAGGUCAGGACUCCUCUAUGUCCCCUCCAAUCCCCGUUCUCCUCCCCGGACUGCAAGCCACCCAAGGCAGGUCGCCUCCCGCCCUGGACCUGGCUGCCAGACAGGAUGCAGCCCCGCCCCUGACCACGCCCUGGUGGCCGGCUCUGAUUGGAUCCGGGUGGGUGUAACCCCUAGAGCAGUACUUCAUACAACAGCUGGUAGCGAAUUAGAGGACGUACUUCGAAAGAUCGGCCUGCAAGGCUCUUCUUGCGCGGUGAUUGGCUCCCAAUCUUCCCUUCUCCUCUAGCAUCUGCCUCCAAACUGUGUCUCAGCAGCAAGUUGUUUAGAAGCUAAGGCUGGGGCUCAGAAAACAUUGUCUCCCCGUUGCCCAGUAGCAUACAGAGGGAGCUCAAGCAAUCGAUAUAUGUUGGACUUCCCUGGUGGACCAGUGGUUAAGAAUCCGCUUGCCAAUGCAGGGGACACGGGUUUGAUCCCUGGUCUGGGAAGAUUCCACAUGCCAGCAGAGCAACCAAGCCCAGUGCACCUCAACUACUGAAGCCUGAGGGAUCUCGAGCCCGCGUUUCUGCAGCUACUGAAGCCUGUGGUGCCCUAGAAUCUGUGCUCCUCAACAAGACAAGCCAAAGCAAUGACAAGCUGGCUAGACUAGAGACUAGAGAGUAGCUCCAUUUUCACAGCUAAAGAAAGGCUGCGUGCAGCAACAAAGAUCCCGUGCAGCUGAAGAUAAGUAAAAUUUAAAAAGAAAUAAAUAUCGACUGGUAUAAUUAAUGAAUUAAUCUGGUAGCAGAGAUUUGGGAGCUCUCCACCCUUGUGAAACAGAAACAGGCCCUGUGGGGCCUUCCCAGUGACAGACAUCUGUGUUCCCCACUUCUUGCUUGUAGAAAAAGCUUUUAGCCUCUUAGGCCUUAUCUGAGAGCAGACUCAGCAAUUGAUGAUUGGAGAAGUGGGAAAUCAGGGACAAAAAUGAAGCAGUCAAGCGGGAAAGUAAUAGCAAAUUAAAUAAUAGGUCCACCAGAAAAAAGAGUCACAAAACCCCUAGCUUCUCCUUGAGGUUACCCCUCUAUGGAGAGCCUUCUGACACAUAUUCUUAUGCUGUUUUGGCAGAAACCAGGACCCUACCAGAUGGAAACUGCUGACCUCAAACAUAUAGAGCCUAAACUGGUUGGAGGCAGAAGAUUGAUCACUCUGUUAACUCACCACCAACCAAUCAGAAAAAUGUCCAUGACAUGGUCAUACACCCUGUGACCCUCACCCCUAAUGCUGCUUUGAAAAACCCUUUCCUGGAAGCCAUCAGAGGUCGGACAUCUUUGGCACUUUGGCUACCUUCUCUUCUUGCUUGGCACUGUUCAAAGAACCUUCACUGCCCCAUUCUGGACUCCUCCAGCUCCAGGUCCACCCUCUAGCC